Long non-coding RNA from Epinephelus moara (kelp grouper), 1208 nucleotides. RefSeq lists it as uncharacterized. The record is from RefSeq and is a predicted model, not a curated record. Lineage: Eukaryota; Metazoa; Chordata; Actinopteri; Perciformes; Serranidae. The transcript is spliced from 2 exons.
AUUGAAAAGACAAUAAAGCUUCCAGGAAAAUAGCAUUUUAAAUCGUGUGUGUGAUUUAUCCUGGCUUCAUAUGAGUAGAGGACAUCUCCGCUCGUCGCUAGGCUAAUUUAUAUAAUGUAAAAUGCCAUAGGCUUGUGCUAAUAACGUUAGCAUGUUAUAUUUGUAUGGAAAACACGUUUGGUAUAAGACAAUUGUUUUGUCAGUGAGCCUUGUGAGUUGUAAUGGAGCAGAAUUUUGUAACGUUACCUUUGUUAAAUGUUGCUGUUGUCCCUGGCUGAAAUAUGUGUAGAGGAAAAGUUCACUAGCUGCUAGGCUAAUUUAUACAAUGUAAAAUGCCAUAGGCUUGUGCUAAUAACGUUAGCAUGUUGUAUUUGUGGGGAAAAUGUGUCCAGAUAAAGACAAGUGUUUGUCUGUGAAUGCUGCGAGUUAUAGUGAAGCUGAUUUGUGUACUUGUGUUUGAAAUUGUCUCUAUUAAGCCAUGUUUAAUGUAUGUUUAAUGUAUGUUUAAUGUGUGUUUAAUGUGUGUUUGAUGUGUGUUUGAUGUGUGUUGUUAAUCAACCAAACUUUACAGCACUUCAUAGAAACCCCGUUGCCAACUCUGGGAGGUGUAACUGCAGCGAACACACCCCUGGACAAUUUGAAAUUCUCACAAUGGCGAAUGGCCCACCUUAAGAUUGACAUACUCGCUGCCCAUUCUGGGCUACUGUAGAAACAGCAUGGCACACUGUGGAGGAGAAAAAAAAACCCUCUAUUGAACAACAAUAGGUUCCUGGCAGAAUGUUGGGCCCUGGCACUUUUGUGCUUGGGCCCUAAUUAAGUAAAUCAUUAAACUACUAACAUUCAAACAAAGGCUUUACUUACUUAAUUUCUUUAUUAAAAAAUGACAGUAUUUUACCAAAGGAAAAUAGAAUUACAUUACACUGCACAGUCAGUACGUUGACAUGACACUAGAGAGAAUUGAUUUUUUUGUGUCAGUCCGACUAAAACCAGACUUUUAAAAUAAAUGUUAACAUGUUAGUGCGACUUAAAUAGUACUAAAUUGAAUUUCGCAAAGUCGGAUUAACACACCAAUAUAAUGUGAUUGGGAGUUUAAUUCCUCCUGCAUGUAUACAGUCAAUCAGACCCAAACUGGCCGAGGCGCUCUGAGCAUGCUCCACAGUUUCCGCCCCGGGCUUUGACCCAGAAGUUGAAGGCAUUAAAUGCAUAAG